RNAcentral lists this transfer RNA (76 nucleotides) under Bacillus phage P59. RNAcentral's name for it is "tRNA-Phe". It matches the Rfam family "tRNA". From Rfam's summary of the family: Transfer RNA (tRNA) molecules are approximately 80 nucleotides in length. Their secondary structure includes four short double-helical elements and three loops (D, anti-codon, and T loops). The record is from RNAcentral. Lineage: Duplodnaviria; Heunggongvirae; Uroviricota; Caudoviricetes; Herelleviridae.
GGGGGAGUAGCUGAUGUGGUCUUAGCGACUGGUUGAAGCCCAGUAGAUGAGGGUUCGAUUCCUUCCUCCCCCACCA